CGGUUGCCCGGGCCUGUCCUGUUUAGACAGGAGUCCAGGGCCUGCGAAUCGAGCUGACGCCAGCACCUCUGUGCCUGCUUGCACCUGGACCCAGCAGAGCCACGGGGGCCCCGAAUCACACCUGCAGUCAGGGCGUGGGGCUGGAGAGACUUCUUCAUGAAGGAAUACAGGGACAGUCACAGGAGACAGGAGCACCAAGGGAUUCGGACAUGUGGCUGACACAGUCUUCUGGAGAGCCCCGGAUGGCAUCAGGGGGAAACCUGGCCUGAGACAGUGCCCUGAUGGACAAGGACAGGAAUACGGUCAUACCUCCUGCCCACUUGACCAACGACCAGGAUGAGAAGCCAACAGAUGAUGAAUAUGAAUUAAAGUUGGACAACUAGCAAGUUUAAAACUUGGACUGGGACCUAGAUCUUCCGAUUCCUACAGCUAGCCUCCCUUUCCAUCUUCUCUGUGGUCAUCACUAAUGCAGUUUUUGACCGUCUUGUCCAGAAGCUGCAAAACAGACAACAGAAGCCAGGACUGGCCCUGCCUUAGAUGGCUUUCAGUGCAGGAAAGUAUCAAGACAGUCUUGUUCGUAGCGUAUAUCUCUCUCCACCUUUUCUGCUAAGCACCUCAUGUAUGCAGCUGCCAAUGUAACACCUCCAUUUGCGUGUUUAAUCACCAUCUCAAGCUAAUGUAACCAAGCAGACUUCUUGGCCUUCAUCCCUGCCUCCUCUAGUCUUCUCAUCUCUCUCUCUCUCUCUCUCUUUUUGAGACAGAAUUUGGCUCUGUUGCCCAGGCUGGAGUGCAGUGGCACCAUCUUGGCUCACUGCAACCUCUGCCUCCUGGGCUCAAGCCAUCCUCCCAACUCAGCCUCCUGAGUAGCUGGGUCUUCCCAUCUCUUUAAAAAACAAUUCAAUUGUUCAGAACAAAACCCUGGAGUCAUAUUUAAUUCCUCCCUUCCUCUUGCACUUCUAAACCAAUCAUUCAUCUCUACUUUGAAAAUGUUUCUUUAUUCAUCCAGUGCACCAAGCCACCAUCACCUCGAGGCAGGAAUAUUCAACGGCCUCAUAAGUGGUCUCCCUAUUUGUGUUAUAUUCAAUGCAUGUCUUUUCUUACUCAAAAUCCUAUAAAGGCUUCUCUUCACCAUCCACGACUGUUUCCUGCCUUCCUCACUAUGAUCCCAUCACUGACCCCUCAAGACUAUGUUCCAGCCUACUUUCUGCUCCUUGACCAACACCCUUACUCUGAUUCCCACUUUUGUGACUUCACAUGAGUCCCCUGUCUGCCUGGACACUCUGCCCCCAACCUUGAAGUGCUCACCCUUCCCUGUCACUCAGUUGAAAGUCAAAUUCCAUUUCCUCAUGAGGGCUUCCCUGAAUACCCACUUUUAAUUAACUCUCUGCCUCCUCCCAUCACUUCUGUUUUACCCCCUCUUUUAGUUCCUUCCUAUCUUAGUUUCAUAAGAGCCAGGGCCGUUUCCGACUUCUUUCCCCGUCAAGCCUCCUUAGAUAGGACAGGUCCUCUGCCUCACCGACUUUAAUCAGUAUUUGCUAAGUAAACAGAGCACAGGAGGAUCCUGUUGUCAUCAAAGAGCAGCUCUGCCUCCAAUGGCGAAAGGAUUGUUGGAACCUCAUCCUUCCUUCAAGUUCUGGUUCAAAAAAUUCCAUGCUAUGCCUCACAUGGCCUUGCCCAGGUGCCUGUUUGAUUUGCCUGGGUUGUCUGUUCUUUCUUCCCCACUGUCCUCAUUUGCCAUGUGGCUCGGUGGUGGCUGGAGACCUCCAUGCUGGCCCCUGGGAGCAGCUGCUAAGGCUCGGCGCCUCAGGACACCUUGGCACCUGUGGAUAUCGACCACCAGGCUUCUCUUCUGUUCAUGUCUCUGCAAGAAUGAGAACCUGCCCCCAUACCAUUUGUGCUGUGUAGGCCUCAGGAGGCAUGGACUCACGCAUCCAGCUUCCUGCAAGCCCUCUGGUACAUCGCAGUGUUCACCCCCAGCUUUCUAUUACAGCCACCACCCAGGGACUCUGGUGCAGGCUCCUUAGAGAGAGGCCAGGAAACUGCCGAGGUGAUAAGUGACAGCAGGUCUCAGGGGAAGAGAGGACUUCUCUCCUUAGUAAAGAACCUGUCGAGGUCGGAAAGACACUCCAGGCUCAAAGCCAAAUUUGAAAGUUAGGCUGACAGCCCAACUAGGGCAGAUUGGAGGAGCCAGGUGGAGAGAGGAUGUGGGGGAGUCAGGAAAGAGGUGGAAGGAGAAGCCUGGAAGAGUGGCUCCGCUCCUGGAGUAUGGCCAGCGGCACUUCGUCAGGACCUCGACCUUCACCCACUAGUGGGAGGGUGUUCCUCGCAUGACUUGUAGGAUCACCUGGGAAACACACAAAUGGAAGAAUUUAAAAAUAUCUGCUAGGACACCCCGUGUCCCCCACAACUCAUCACAGAGCAAACCCAUCACAGAGCAAACUCCUUGGCUACUUCUUGUCUUGGGCCGUCUUUUCAUCUGGCCUGUUUGCCUGACUGGACUUUGGGGUCUUUGUUCCCAGCAUCAAAAUUUCCUACCAGCGACUUUCCAUCACAGCUCCCUUCCAGUCUUCUGGAAAUUGUCAGAUGUGCCUGGAUUUGCAGGGCCUGCACAAGAUAUGCUGUCGAUCUGGGAUUUUUGGGGAUUUUUGCAGUUCACACUCCAAUGUGCAACAGCAACCAAACGGAGAUGGAGGACGUGAACAUGAACUACUGGAGAUGCUGAUGAAACGUGUGUAAGGACCGCAAUGGUAUCUGUGUCCUGCUCGUGAAAUUGACCAGAUACAGCGGCUUCCUUUUGCUUCCGAAGGCCCGGAUUGACCUGACAAUUGAUAUGCUUUGCUCUAUACUCCAACUCCCAUUGACCAUGGGGUGAAAGCACCCUUUCUCGGUCAGCCUCACUGCUUCCCCGCAGAUGGAGGGAUUUUCUGCAGGAGCAUGGGCCCUGGGCCUUCCUUUCCCACUGUCUCUUGAAAGCCUCCUCCAGAUGUGCUGCCUGGCUCAGCUCUUUGGGUGACUUUUGUUCUGUCUCAUGUGACCCAUCAAGAUUCACACAGGGCUGUGUCCCGGGCAGGGCUGGAGUCGACAUUCAGGGAGGAGAUCACUGUUCUGGAACAGAGCAGUGAUUGGUUUAAUUGAAAUCUGAUAGAUCAUCAUGUAAAAAGCUGGCAUGUAAGCAUGCUCCCGGAGCCUGCAGGGCCCUGCGCGGCCUCUUGCCUGGCCAUCACGUAGAGGCGGUCCUCUUGCAUGGUUGGGGGCCUCACCUGCACCACGGGCCCCCAAGCCAAACAGUGAGAUUGUACGGAGACCAUCCUGGUCAGGUCUUGCAGUUUGCACCAGGUAGCCCCAGGCUAUCCUGCCGUGCAAGAGCUGCCUUCUCAGCACAGUGGAGUUCUACGGCUGCCUCGGCUGCAGAGGUCAGCUCUGGAGCCUUGCUGAGCACCUCCAUGGAUGCAUUUUGCAAAGGGCCGAGUAAGAGGCAUUAACGUGGCCUGUGCUUAGUUCCUGACAGCAAGCGGGAUUAAACCCGGAUUAAAGGAUCAGCCCUAAACCAAAGCAGACCAGUAAUAGGUCUCAUGAUAAAAGCAGCCAAAUAAUAAUAGUAAAAAUCUAUUCUUGGACU
RNAcentral lists this long non-coding RNA (3619 nucleotides) under Homo sapiens (human). RNAcentral's name for it is "HSALNT0356025". Lineage: Eukaryota; Metazoa; Chordata; Mammalia; Primates; Hominidae. The record is from RNAcentral.